CCGAGGCAGCGGGCUGGAGGGAGUGCCGCCCCCCACCCCCUUGUGCGCUGUGAGUGGGCAGCUGUCCGAGGGACCGGAACUGCUCGCCUAGAGGUGGAUGGGUUGUGAGAGUCGGCCACUCUUGUCUGUCUCUCCCUUGUCUCCAGCUAGGCACCUCCCCUGAUCCGUGUACCUCUUGGACUUGCGAAGGCCAAGGCUGCCUUGGGGAAUGGCAAAAAACCAGAAGGGAAGUAUCUCAUAAGCAACUGCAGGAGCUGGUAACUGUAGAAGAGGCCAGAUACUUCUUUUUCUGAAAUCUUGUCAACCUGCCAUUUCAGCAGUUGUGCUCGUUGAAUGCAGAGGAUCUGGAAGAAAUUCUGAGGCAGCUUUCUGAAGUGGCAGAGACACAUGGCGGAAGGAGCUGGGAUUCCUGAGUCACCAUGUGGAAGAGAGCCAAACAAGAUGGAUGCCUGACCUGCAUCUGACUUUUUUGUGUUAAGCCACUGUUUUGGGGUUGUUUGUUCCAGCGAUUAGCAUUAAUUACCCUGAAAAACGUAUCACCAACAGUAGUUCUUUUUUAGAAAGUACAUUUAGUCCAUUAAAAUAAAAAAGUCUGUCUCCUUUAGCCCAGAAAUUACUCUUUCAGAAAGCAAACAUAUAAAAAUAACAUCAUCAGAAUGCAAAGAUACAUUUGUGAUGAUACGUUUGCAAUAGGAAAAAAAGUCAAACUGUAUUUUCAUUCAUGGGGAAUAGUUAAAUAAAUUAUGGCAUAUUGAUUUGACUAAACAGUACACAGCCCUUAAGAAGCAUGAUCUAGCUAUAUGCGUGGACCUGGAAAGAUGCCAACCAGAUAAAGUUAUUUACAUAAGAAAGUUCAAACCAUUAUCUACAGCAUGGUUUCUCUUUAUUAAAGUUACAUUUAUAGAUUUUUAUGCACUUACAGAUGUGAAUAAACAAGGAUAAAUUAGGAAAAUAGUUUACAUAACUUUUAUUUUUUCUUAAACAGUAGUUAUCUGUUAGGUAGAUUUCAAAAAGAUAGUCCCAGUUAUUCAUCUCUCUCCUAUCCAAGCAUUUUGCAAUGUGGGUUUGCAGUUCCUCCCAUCAGGAGGUGGAGUCUGUUUCCCUUACCAUCAGUCAUGAUUGGUACUGGAAUUUUCCUUGGACAAAAGAAAAUAGUGAAAAUUGCAACAUGUUAGUUUCAAGCCUCAGACUUAAGAGGCCUAGCAUAUAUCCAUGCUCUUUUUAAAGCCCGGUCACAAUCCUAACAACAAGAGCAGACCAGCACACUGGAAGAGACCACCAAGAUCAGCAAAGCCAGCCAGCAGCUGAUCUGACAGCUAACUGCAGAAAUACAAGCAGACCUAGCUGAGACCAGAAGAGCUGCCCAGUCACACUACAGACUCCUCUCUCACUCCCUUCCCUUCUUCAUCCCUUCUUCUUUCUCUCUUUCAAUGUAUAUAUUUAAUUGCCAUAAAUGAUGUAGGGUGCCCUGAUAGCCCGUGACAUCUACCAGGAUUAAGCCUGCAGUCACUGA
This is a long non-coding RNA of Loxodonta africana (African savanna elephant), 1513 nucleotides long. RefSeq lists it as uncharacterized. The record is from RefSeq and is a predicted model, not a curated record. The transcript has 3 exons. NCBI's taxonomy places the organism in Eukaryota, Metazoa, Chordata, Mammalia, Proboscidea, Elephantidae.